CCUACGGGAGGCAGCAGUGAGGAAUAUUGGUCAAUGGCCGAGAGGCUGAACCAGCCAAGUCGCGUGAGGGAUGACGGCCCUACGGGUUGUAAACCUCUUUUGUCGGGGAGUAAAGCGAGUCACGUGUGACACAUUGAGAGUACCCGAAGAAAAAGCAUCGGCUAACUCCGUGCCAGCAGCCGCGGUAAUACGGAGGAUGCGAGCGUUAUCCGGAUUUAUUGGGUUAAAGGGGUGCGCAGGCGGAGGUGUAAGUCAGCGGUAAAAUUGCGGGGCUAAACCCCGAACUGCCGUUGAAACUGCAUCCCUGGAGUGCGCGAGAAGUAUGCGGAAUGCGUGGUGUAGCAGUGAAAUGCAUAGAUAUCA
This 363-nucleotide ribosomal RNA is filed under the name uncultured bacterium. RNAcentral describes it as "partial 16S ribosomal RNA". It matches the Rfam family "Bacterial small subunit ribosomal RNA", at positions 338 to 699 of the family's 1533-position model. The record is from RNAcentral.